UAGUCCACGCCCUAAACGAUGAAUGUUAGUCGUCGGGUAGCUAGUCUAUUCGGUGAUGCAGCUAACGCAUUAAACAUUCCGCCUGGGGAGUACGGUCGCAAGAUUAAAACUCAAAGGAAUAGACGGGGACCCGCACAAGUGGUGGAGCAUGUGGUUUAAUUCGAAGAUACGCGAAGAACCUUACCUAGCCUUGACAUAUUAAAGAACACUUUAGAGAUAGAGUGGUGCCUUCGGGAGCUUUUAUACAGGUGCUGCACGGCUGUCGUCAGCUCGUGUCGUGAGAUGUUGGGUUAAGUCCCGCAACGAGCGCAACCCUCGUCACUAGUUACUAACGGUUCGGCCGAGGACUCUAGUGAGACUGCCUUCGCAAGGAGGAGGAAGGUGAGGACGACGUCAAGUCAUCACGGCCCUUACGGCUAGGGCAACACACGUGCUACAAUGGUCGGUACAGUGGGCAGCGAGACAGUGAUGUUGAGCGAAUCCCAAAAAGCCGGCCUCAGUUCGGAUUGU
Molecule: ribosomal RNA, 510 nt
Filed under: uncultured bacterium
Lineage: Bacteria
Description: bacterial SSU rRNA
Rfam family: Bacterial small subunit ribosomal RNA
Source: RNAcentral